UUCAUGUGCAAAGACGUGUAGUUUUCAGAAAACGUGCGAAUGUAAAUUAAUACAAGAAAAAAAAAACAAAUUUAACAACGAACGAAUGAAUGUAUGAAAAUAUUAAUUAAUAAUAAGAAAAUUAGAGCAAAAAUAAAGAGUUUUCAAAAUAUGUUUUGAAAAUAUAAAGAAAAUUUUAUUCGAAUACCUUAUAUAAAGUAAAACCUAGAACGGGCUUAAGUGAUAAUAAAUAUUAAAAAAAAUAAAAUAUAAUUAAAGUGAUAAUAGUGCUGAUGUUGAUGAAAUAACUGCAAUAUGUAAAUUAAAUUGAUAAGAUUGAGAAAUAAUACAAGCAGAACGAACAGACGACAACAAAAGAAAAUACAAAUGUUUAGUUUAAAUUUAAUUUAAUUAUAUAUUGCAAAUUGUUAAAUACAAUUUAAAAAAAUAUAAAAAAUAAUACAAUUUGCACAAAACAAAAUCAAUUGCGUGGUUUGCUUAAAAGUCUAUUUGCAUUUAAAUGCAAAUCCAAUUUGUUUAAAACCGAAAGUAAUAUUUAAAACAAAAAUUAAGUUUUUAAAAGAAAAACAAAUAUAAUUGAAUAGAAAGUUAUUUGAAAAGAAUUUUAAUUAUUGUAAUUCAAACCGUUUAAAUGUAACGGUAAUUUAAUCUUUAAUACUCUUACGCCCGCAUUUUUUAUUCGAGCUUUAAACAUUAUUUUUUAUGUUUAUACUUCACAGUUUGUUUUUUUUUUUAUUUUUUAUUAUUAAAUAAAAAUAUUAAAUCUGAUGCCCAAGUGUUGUGUGCUUUAGUCAACUACCGCGCUGUCAAUUUGACAGUUGUGUAUAAAAUUAAAGUAGUGUUAAUAUAGAAAUUGAAUUGAAUUAAAAAACAAAUUCAUAACUAAGAAUUUCAAAUUUGAAAUAAAAUUUUAAGACAAAUUACGAUUUCCUGCGGAUUGCUGUUAGAAGCUGUAAAUUUUUAAAUAUUUAUUUGCUACGGGGUCGAGACCUAAUAGUUGGAAUAUAUUACAAUUUUGAGGAUAUUUUAUUUCCUUUGAUGUGCAAUCUCCAUAAUUUAAAUGAUUUCUUGAGGGUCAUCAAGGCUAUUAUAGAACUUACUUUGCAGCCGAUGUUAACCAUUUUCAAUAGGCUUCAUGUACGGUACAAUAGAAUAUCAUAGCCAUUAAAUGAAGACAUAAAAAACAACAACAACAAAAAUUCAUUCUUUAAAAAAAAAUAUGCAGAAAAUCUAAAAACAUAAAACAACAUUGACAACAAUAACAACAGUUAAGGCAACAAAAACAACUAACUAAUAAAGAAGCAAUAAAAACCAGCCAACACCUUGUUGGUGAAAAACAAACAAACAA
Lucilia cuprina (Australian sheep blowfly) is the source of this 1348-nucleotide long non-coding RNA. RefSeq lists it as uncharacterized. The record is from RefSeq and is a predicted model, not a curated record. The transcript is spliced from 5 exons. Lineage: Eukaryota; Metazoa; Arthropoda; Insecta; Diptera; Calliphoridae.